AUUACAGAACUUUGGGAAAAAUGUAAACGUGUUGAAAGUUUGGGAAACCUUUGUGAUGUAAUCACCUUGAAGAAAUGCAACAUACAUCACACAGCAUGGAAAGCUACAGUGGUGUCCGCCAUUGCGUCCAUGCUCAGGGUCACCCUCCAUGCCAUGUGCUCGGCCCAUACUUCAGUGUCAUUAAGAUUCUUGUGGCACACCACUCCACUGGCCCGUCCUAUUAUAACAUGUCUUCAUGAAAUAUCGUUGUCCAUGAAUUGGUGCAAUCCAGUAGCAAAUAUUUGUUUCUCGGCUAUUUCUCAUCAUAAAAUGGCAAAUAAAUAAUUUUACUAUGUUUGAUUGA
Molecule: long non-coding RNA, 343 nt
Organism: Phycodurus eques (leafy seadragon)
Lineage: Eukaryota; Metazoa; Chordata; Actinopteri; Syngnathiformes; Syngnathidae
Exons: 2
Source: RefSeq, a predicted model, not a curated record